This is a long non-coding RNA of Anolis carolinensis (green anole), 769 nucleotides long. RefSeq lists it as uncharacterized. NCBI's taxonomy places the organism in Eukaryota, Metazoa, Chordata, Lepidosauria, Squamata, Anolidae. The transcript has 2 exons. The record is from RefSeq and is a predicted model, not a curated record.
UACUAAUAAUAAUAAUAAUAAUAAUAAUAAUAAUAACUUUUUCAUAGCCUGCCCUGUCUCCCCGAGAGGACUGAUUAUUCCUACGACUACCAAGGCUGGAUGGCCAUCUGUUGGGAGUGCUCCCAAGUUUUUCCAACAGACCUCACAACCUCUGAGGAUGCCUGCCAUGGAUGUGGGUGAAACGUCAGGAGAGAAUGCUACUGUAUUGUAGCAGUAUGGAACAACUGAGAAUGGUGCAAUAUCGCUGCCUUGCAGCAUUUUAAUUUUUGUAUACUUUUUAUUAUGUUUUAAUUGUUUGUUUUAUAGUAUACUAGCUGUGCCCAGCCACGCGUUGCUGUGGCUUAUGGGAAUCCUUUGUUGGCCAGGUGGAAUAGCAGUGAAUAGCCUUGCAGCCUCAAAGCCUGGCCGUUUUCUGGAGUAGCUGGAGCUGUUUGUUGUAUGAAUGUAGAGGCAUGGAUGAGGGGUUGUGGUGCCAAGUUUAGUGUUUCUGGGAUGUGUCGUUUUGUUAUUUUGUCCUAGGCCGAAAUUUCAUUACUCUUUUAUAUAUAUAGAUUUGUUGUUGGCCCUCGUGGCAGAAUGUAAGCCGCUCUGAGUCCCCUCGGGGGAGAAGGGCGGGGUAUAAAUGCAUGUAAUAAAUAAAUAAAUAAAUACUACUGGAACAUGGCCAGACAACCCGGAAAACUCACAGCUACCCAGUGAUUGUGGCCAUGAAAGCCUUCGACAACACAUUUCUGGAUUUCAUGUAAUAAAAGCAAUCUACUCCUAACAA